Molecule: ribosomal RNA, 254 nt
Filed under: uncultured bacterium
Lineage: Bacteria
Description: partial 16S ribosomal RNA
Rfam family: Bacterial small subunit ribosomal RNA
Source: RNAcentral
UACGUAGGGUCCGAGCGUUGUCCGGAAUUAUUGGGCGUAAAGGGCUCGUAGGCGGUUCGUCACGUCGGGAGUGAAAACUCGGGGCUUAACCCCGAGCCUGCUUCCGAUACGGGCAGACUAGAGGUAGGCAGGGGAGAGCGGAACUCCUGGUGUACGCGGUGGAAUGCGCAGAUAUCAGGAAGAACACCGGUGGCGAAGGCGGCUCUCUGGGCCUUACCUGACGCUGAGGAGCGAAAGCGUGGGUAGCGAACAGG